Molecule: ribosomal RNA, 827 nt
Filed under: uncultured fungus
Lineage: Eukaryota; Fungi
Description: eukaryotic LSU rRNA
Rfam family: 5.8S ribosomal RNA (bases 289-443)
Source: RNAcentral
UGUUGCUGAGAAGUUGAUCAAACUUGGUCAUUUAGAGGAAGUAAAAGUCGUAACAAGGUUUCCGUAGGUGAACCUGCGGAAGGAUCAUUACUGAAUUGUCAAACGGGUUGUUGCUGGCCCUCAUAGGGGGCAUGUGCACGCUCUGUUUACACAUCCACUCACACCUGUGCACCCUCUGUAGUUCUAUGGUCUGGGGGACCCUGUCUUCCUUCUGUGGUUCUACGUCUUUACACACACACUGUAACAAAGUUUUAUGGAAUGUACAUCGCGUCUAACGCAAUACAAUACAACUUUCAGCAACGGAUCUCUUGGCUCUCGCAUCGAUGAAGAACGCAGCGAAAUGCGAUAAGUAAUGUGAAUUGCAGAAUUCAGUGAAUCAUCGAAUCUUUGAACGCACCUUGCGCCCCUUGGCUAUUCCGAGGGGCAUGCCUGUUUGAGUAUCAUGAACACCUCAACUCUCAUGGUUUGCCAUGAUGAGUUGGACUCUGGGGGUUUUGCUGGCCUGUGGUCGGCUCCUCUCAAAUUAAUCAGCCUCCCAGUGUUUGGUGGCAUCACGGGUGUGAUAAAUAUCUACGCUCGCUGUUGUCUGCCAGGUAACCUUUGGUCACAAAGGUUUGCUGGAGCUCACAGAUGUCUCUCCUCAGCGAGGACAGCUUUUUUAACGUUCGAUCUCAAAUCAGGUAGGACUACCCGCUGAACUUAAGCAUAUCAAUAAGCGGAGGAAAAGAAACUAACAAGGAUUCCCCUAGUAACUGCGAGUGAAGCGGGAAAAGCUCAAAUUUAAAAUCUGGCGUGCCUCUGGUCGUCCGAGUUGUAGUUUAGAGAAG